Molecule: ribosomal RNA, 253 nt
Filed under: uncultured bacterium
Lineage: Bacteria
Description: partial 16S ribosomal RNA
Rfam family: Bacterial small subunit ribosomal RNA
Source: RNAcentral
UACGGGGGGGGCAAGCGUUGUUCGGAAUUACUGGGCGUAAAGGGCGCGUAGGCGGCCUUCUAAGUCGGACGUGAAAUCCCUCGGCUUAACCGAGGAACUGCGUCCGAUACUGAAAGGCUUGAAUCCGGGAGAGGGAUGUGGAAUUCCAGGUGUAGCGGUGAAAUGCGUAGAUAUCUGGAGGAACACCAAUGGCGAAGGCAGCUCGCUGGAACGGUACUGACGCUGAGGCGCGAAAGCGUGGGUAGCAAACAGG